This is a long non-coding RNA of Amphiprion ocellaris (clown anemonefish), 681 nucleotides long. The record is from Ensembl. NCBI's taxonomy places the organism in Eukaryota, Metazoa, Chordata, Actinopteri, Pomacentridae.
GUGUGUGUGUGUGUGUGUGUGUGUGUGUGUGUGUGUGUGUGUGUGUGUGUGUGUGUGUGUGUGUGUGUGUGUGUGUGUGUGUGUGUGUGUGUGUGUGUGUGUGUGUGUUAUAAUUUAUCAGUACAAAUGUGCCAGCUGGUGUUUUCUCCACAACAACACAGUGAUGAUUCUGAAACAGAACAGGUCAUUCCAUCGAAAACCAACCAGAAACAUCUGCUUCUUCAUCUCCAGUAACUUCAUCAAUGAUCAGAGUUCUACCAGAACCUCCUCAGAACAUCUGGUUCUUCAUCUGCAGUAACUUUAUCAAUGAUCAGAGUUCUACCUUCAUCCUGAGAAUAUUUCCAGAGUUCCAGGUCCUUGAAGUCCAUAGAGGAGAACGUCCCCUGGAGAAAGUUGUAGAGUAGACCUACCCACAACUGUCCAGUUGUCGGUAGGUCUACUCUAGAACUUUCUCCAGUUGUCGGUAGGUCUACUCUAGAACUUUCUCCAGUUGUCGGUAGGUCUACUCUAGAACUUUCUCCAGUUGUCGGUAGGUCUACUCUAGAACUUUCUACAGUUGUCGGUAGGUCUACUCUAGAACUUUCUCCAGUUGUCGGUAGGUCUACUCUAGAACUUUCUCCAGGGGACGUUCUCCUUUCCUGCUUCCAGUCUUUAAGUCUAGUCUCACUUUGAACAUUCCAG